Equus caballus (horse) is the source of this 1435-nucleotide non-coding RNA. The record is from RefSeq and is a predicted model, not a curated record. Lineage: Eukaryota; Metazoa; Chordata; Mammalia; Perissodactyla; Equidae.
AUCCGAGUGAUCUGGACGUUCUCCAUCCUUGGACUCUGGGAAGCAAAGGUCCCUGUGCCUUUGUCCCACAAAAUUCCUUGAACCUAGAUUUAAAGAUGCUUCAAAAUAAGAAGUUGAGCUUUUAAAUUAAAAUUAGCUCCCUAAAUGUCUGCAUAUGGUAUAUUUCUUGUAGUAUUUUGUUUCUCAUGUACAGACAAUAGGGUGCCUAAAAUGAGAACCAUUUCUCUUUUUCUGUGCAUUUGUGGUGAACUUUUAAGAAAACAUGUACUGUUUUCCACAUAUUUCAUGAGUUUUAUUGUCUAUAAACUUCAUAAAGUAUCUCUGGAAAGAUACACAAGGAAGCAAUAAUACCAGCAGCUGAUGGAGUGCAAAAUUUAAAAAUUUUGAAACCUGUGAAUGUAUUUCCUGUUUUUUUUUAAAAAGUUAACUUUUUAAAAAAUGUCUUUAAAAUAGGGGCAGAUAUUCAGGGAAAAAAAACACAACUUUUUUUUUUCGAGGGGUUGGGGUGGGGGAAAAUUAGCCCAAUAUAUUAAAUUAGCCCAAUAUACUAGAGUCACUAAACUUAAUCCUCAACCAUUCAAAUCUCGGCGCUUAAAUGCCGUGAAGUCAUGUCUGUCUUCUUGCAGAGGACCCUCAGUCACAGUAUAGCGCUUGUGUAAAGAGCAUGGAGAGCUAAAUAAAUAUUUGUUGAUUGCUGAAAAUAUAAGUGUCAAAAUGUUAUGUUUUGAAGAUUUUUCUAUUCUGUGUGAAGACUAAGUCCUCAAGACACUUCGUUUUCCUGUAUCAUCCUUACAGUGAUGAGGUUGAGGCUCAGCGUGCUUGCUUCUUGCCCCCGAGCCUCUGUGAGAACGCUAACUGAAGAACUCUUCCCAUUCCACUGGCUCGGAGAAGGAAGAGCCAGACGAAAGCCUACCCCAGUGUCAUCUCUACCUCUGGGCACAUACAGACACGGAUAAGGAAAAAAGAGCUUCCAACAAGUCUAAGGAGAAGAUGACCAGCACCAAAAAUGUCUGAUGGUUAGGUUACAGCACCCUGCUCCCCAACUAAGGCUUUGGUUCCGUCAGUCUGGCAACCUCACACACUUCAGUCGCAAGCGAGACACAGAGAGUAAACAAGAAGAGGCCUCCCAGGAACCAAAAUAAUGAUCACACGUUGUAGGCCCGGUGCACACACUCAGAUGUGUACAGGCAGGUAAGUGAAAAAAGUAAGUGAAGCUAGUGGAGGGGAGGAAAAACAGGGCUAAUGAGUUCACAAGUGGCAGCUAACACUUGGCCAAGGCGUCGAGGACGUUGAGGGAGGGUGGGGACCUUGGCCAAGAGCCAUCGUCCCACCUAAAGGAAGCAGCUGCCUCUCAACGCCAGCAAUUAAUGCCACGCUAGAUCAUGGGCCCAGGGCUCCCAGCUCUUCAGAUACUUUAAGAGAGAAAUCUGAAUUU